UUCGGGAUGCCGGCGAGUGGCGAACGGGUGCGUAACGCGUGGAAACCUGCCCUGAGAUGGGGGACAACAGCUGGAAACGGCUGCUAAUACCGCAUAAGCCCUACGGGGGAAAGACGCAAGUCGUCUUGGGAGGGGUCCGCGUCGGAUUAGCCUGUUGGCGAGGUAAUGGCUCACCAAGGCGAUGAUCCGUAGCUGGUCUGAGAGGACGAUCAGCCACACUGGGACUGAGACACGGCCCAGACUCCUACGGGAGGCAGCAGUGGGGAAUAUUGCGCAAUGGGGGAAACCCUGACGCAGCGAUGCCGCGUGGGUGAAGAAGGUCUUCGGAUUGUAAAGCCCUUUCAGUGGGAAAGAUGAUGACGGUACCCACAGAAGAAGCUCCGGCUAACUCCGUGCCAGCAGCCGCGGUAAUACGGAGGGGGCGAGCGUUGUUCGGAAUUACUGGGCGUAAAGGGCGCGUAGGCUGUUUUGCAAG
This 475-nucleotide ribosomal RNA is filed under the name uncultured Magnetococcus sp. RNAcentral's name for it is "bacterial SSU rRNA". It matches the Rfam family "Bacterial small subunit ribosomal RNA", at positions 79 to 587 of the family's 1533-position model. Lineage: Bacteria; Pseudomonadati; Pseudomonadota; Magnetococcia; Magnetococcales; Magnetococcaceae. The record is from RNAcentral.